Molecule: ribosomal RNA, 253 nt
Filed under: uncultured bacterium
Lineage: Bacteria
Description: partial 16S ribosomal RNA
Rfam family: Bacterial small subunit ribosomal RNA
Source: RNAcentral
UACGGAGGGAGCUAGCGUUGUUCGGAAUCACUGGGCGUAAAGCGCACGUAGGCGGAUUGCUAAGUCAGGGGUGAAAUCCUGGAGCUCAACUCCAGAACUGCCUUUGAUACUGGCGACCUUGAGUCCGGGAGAGGUGAGUGGAACUGCGAGUGUAGAGGUGAAAUUCGUAGAUAUUCGCAAGAACACCAGUGGCGAAGGCGGCUCACUGGCCCGGUACUGACGCUGAGGUGCGAAAGCGUGGGGAGCAAACAGG